GAUGAACGCUGGCGGCGUGCCUAAUACAUGCAAGUCGAGCGAACAGACGAGGAGCUUACUCCUCUGACGUUAGCGGCGGACGGGUGAGUAACACGUGGAUAACCUACCUAUAAGACUGGGAUAACUUCGUGAAACCGGAGCUAAUACCGGAUAACAUGUUGAACCGCAUGGUUCAACAGUGAAAGACGGUCUUGCUGUCACUUAUAGAUGGAUCCGCGUCGCAUUAGCUAGUUGGUAAGGUAACGGCUUACCAAGGCAACGAUGCGUAGCCGACCUGAGAGGGGGAUCGGCCACACUGGAACUGAGACACGGUCCAGACUCCUACGGGAGGCAGCAGUAGGGAAUCUUCCGCAAUGGGCGAAAGCCUGACGGAGCAACGCCGCGUGAGUGAAGAAGGUCUUCGGAUCGUAAAACUCUGUUAUUAGGGAAGAACAAAUGUGUAAGUAACUAUGCACGUCUUGACGGUACCUAAUCAGAAAGCCACGGCUAACUACGUG
Molecule: ribosomal RNA, 497 nt
Filed under: uncultured bacterium
Lineage: Bacteria
Description: partial 16S ribosomal RNA
Rfam family: Bacterial small subunit ribosomal RNA
Source: RNAcentral